This 222-nucleotide long non-coding RNA is filed under the name Elaeis guineensis (African oil palm). Its description in RNAcentral is "long non-coding RNA (EGUI_LNC075325)". Lineage: Eukaryota; Viridiplantae; Streptophyta; Magnoliopsida; Arecales; Arecaceae. The record is from RNAcentral.
UUGGCAUCCCUCUAGUGGCUAUAAAUUGGCUAAACACUGAGUGUCUGAGGCAUUUAGAAAUUAUUUCCAAUUUUAUCUCCAUUGCUCUCCUUUCUUUCUCACAACCUAUCUUAGUUUUAGGAUAAGGCUUUGGGAUUUAAGACAAAGCCUUAUCUGGUCCUAACAAGGGUUGCGAGGGUCCUAAAAUAGGAGGAUCAAAAGUUUAGAGAAGAUUUUGAGAGG